AAGUUGUUUCUCGCUGUCCUCCUCUUCGAUCAAAGUGAUUAAUUAGGGGUUGUGUUUUCGUUUUGAUUUGUUAUGCAAUUGCUUCAUUUUUUUGGGCAAUUGAUUCAAUCAACUCGCUAUCAAUUGUUUGCUUCCCACUCUCUCUCUGCCUCUGCUCUUCUCGCUAUCAAUUUUUAGGGUUUGAGAUUUUGUUAUACGAAUGCUUCAUCUUUUGGUGCAAUUGUUUUAAUCUGUGGAGGCGGACAACGACAUCACGGUUUCUUAUUUAUGUCACCAAGUAAGAUCGAUACAAAAUCACAAACGAUCUAAAACCUCCAAAAGUCUUGUUACAGGAGGCGAGCACAUUAAGAGGAAAGUUGCUAGUUCUCAAUCGCUGGCACCUUUUCUGAGCGGAGCUGGUGAAAAUGAUGUCAAGAGACUCAAGACGCUGUAUUCUAAUGUUUUGAAGGCAUCUGGAAAGGAAGUGUCUUCACAAAACAAUGAGGUUUUAAAGUGGCUGGAAUAUAGAGUUAGCCGUGUUUGCAGCUUUGCAUUCUGUGCUUAGCCUCUCAGAUUCAGCCAAGGAGAAGAUCCCACAUGUCAUAAGAUGGAUGAACUACAUCCAGGUAGGAUCAACAUGUCGAGACUUAAUUUUAAUCCAACAUGUCGAGGUUCCUUAAUUCUCCUCUCUAAAAUUUCCCUGGAAAUGAUCUUGUCUGGAGCUAUAAACAAAUGCCUCAUCCUAUGAUCGAGGUAAUUUCAAUUACCUCUUUGAACUACCCCUUGGUGCCUGAAUGCAAAUUAGCUUGU
Long non-coding RNA from Eutrema salsugineum, 789 nucleotides. RefSeq lists it as uncharacterized. The record is from RefSeq and is a predicted model, not a curated record. NCBI's taxonomy places the organism in Eukaryota, Viridiplantae, Streptophyta, Magnoliopsida, Brassicales, Brassicaceae. The transcript is spliced from 6 exons.